GACGAACGCUGGCGGCGUGCCUAAUACAUGCAAGUAGAACGCUGAAGGAGGAGCUUGCUUCUCUGGAUGAGUUGCGAACGGGUGAGUAACGCGUAGGUAACCUGCCUGGUAGCGGGGGAUAACUAUUGGAAACGAUAGCUAAUACCGCAUAAUAGUAGAUGUUGCAUGACAUUUGCCUAAAAGGUGCAAUUGCAUCACUACCAGAUGGACCUGCGUUGUAUUAGCUAGUUGGUGGGGUAACGGCUCACCAAGGCGACGAUACAUAGCCGACCUGAGAGGGGGAGCGGCCAAACUGGGACUUGGACAAGGCCCAGGCUCCUACGGGGGGCAGCAGUAGGGAAUCUUCGGCAAUGGACGGAAGUCUGACCGAGCAACGCCGCGUGAGUGAAGAAGGUUUUCGGAUCGUAAAGCUCUGUUGUAAGAGAAGAAAGAGUGUGAGAGUGGAAAGUUCACACUGUGACGGUAGCUUAACAGAAAGGGACGGCUAACUACGUG
RNAcentral lists this ribosomal RNA (495 nucleotides) under uncultured bacterium. Its description in RNAcentral is "partial 16S ribosomal RNA". It matches the Rfam family "Bacterial small subunit ribosomal RNA", at positions 28 to 507 of the family's 1533-position model. The record is from RNAcentral.